This 832-nucleotide ribosomal RNA is filed under the name uncultured organism. RNAcentral's name for it is "SSU rRNA". It matches the Rfam family "Bacterial small subunit ribosomal RNA", at positions 34 to 863 of the family's 1533-position model. The record is from RNAcentral.
CGCUGGCGGCUGCUUUACACAUGCAAGUCGAACGGUAACAGGGAGCUUGCUCCGCUGACGAGUGGCGAACGGGUGAGUAAUAUAUCGGAACGUACCCAAGAGUGGGGGAUAACGUAGCGAAAGUUACGCUAAUACCGCAUACGAUCUAUGGAUGAAAGCAGGGGACCUUCGGGCCUUGUGCUCCUGGAGCGGCCGAUAUUUGAUUAGCUAGUUGGUGAGGUAAAGGCUCACCAAGGCGACGAUCAGUAGCUGGUCUGAGAGGACGACCAGCCACACUGGAACUGAGACACGGUCCAGACUCCUACGGGAGGCAGCAGUGGGGAAUUUUGGACAAUGGGCGCAAGCCUGAUCCAGCAAUGCCGCGUGAGUGAAGAAGGCCUUCGGGUUGUAAAGCUCUUUUGUCAGGGAAGAAACGGGAUUGGCUAAUAUCCAGUCCUAAUGACGGUACCUGAAGAAUAAGCACCGGCUAACUACGUGCCAGCAGCCGCGGUAAUACGUAGGGUGCAAGCGUUAAUCGGAAUUACUGGGCGUAAAGCGUGCGCAGGCGGUUUUGUAAGUCUGUCGUGAAAUCCCCGGGCUCAACCUGGGAAUUGCGAUGGAGACUGCAAGGCUAGAAUCUGGCAGAGGGGGGUAGAAUUCCACGUGUAGCAGUGAAAUGCGUAGAGAUGUGGAGGAACACCGAUGGCGAAGGCAGCCCCCUGGGUCAAGAUUGACGCUCAUGCACGAAAGCGUGGGGAGCAAACAGGAUUAGAUACCCUGGUAGUCCACGCCCUAAACGAUGUCUACUAGUUGUCGGGUUUUACUUAACUUGGUAACGCAGCUAGCGCGUGAA